GGAGUCUGGGCCGUGUCUCAGUCCCAAUGUGGCCGUUCAACCUCUCAGUCCGGCUACUGAUCGUCGCCUUGGUGAGCCGUUACCUCACCAACCAGCUAAUCAGACGCGAGCUCAUCUUUCAGCGAUAAAUCUUUGAUAUUAAAGUCAUGCGGCUUCAAUAUGUUAUGCGGUAUUAUCAGUCGUUUCCAACUGCUAUCCCCCUCUGAAAGGCAGAUUGCUCACGUGUUACUCACCCGUCCGCCACUAAGUUAAUCUAAGCAAGCUCAUAUUAACUCCGUUCGACUUGCAUGUGUUAAGCGUGCCGCCAGCGUCGUCCUGAGCCACUGAUCAAACUACU
This 337-nucleotide ribosomal RNA is filed under the name uncultured Ruminococcus sp. RNAcentral describes it as "partial 16S ribosomal RNA". The record is from RNAcentral. Lineage: Bacteria; Bacillati; Bacillota; Clostridia; Eubacteriales; Oscillospiraceae.